This 306-nucleotide ribosomal RNA is filed under the name uncultured bacterium. Its description in RNAcentral is "partial 16S ribosomal RNA". It matches the Rfam family "Bacterial small subunit ribosomal RNA", at positions 507 to 809 of the family's 1533-position model. The record is from RNAcentral.
GACAGCAGCAGCCGCGGGAAUACGGAGGGGGCUAGCGUUGUUCGGAAUUACUGGGCGUAAAGCGCACGUAGGCUGCUUUGUAAGUCAGAGGUGAAAGCCCGGGGCUCAACCCCGGAUGUGCCUUUGAGACUGCAGGGCUAGAACGUCGGAGAGGUGAGUGGAAUUCCGAGUGUAGAGGUGAAAUUCGUAGAUAUUCGGAAGAACACCAGUGGCGAAGGCGGCUCACUGGACGACUGUUGACGUUGAGGUGCGAAAGCGUGGGGAGCAAACAGGAUUAGAUACCCCGGUAGUCCCUGUCUCUUAUAA